UACGGGGGGGGCAAGCGUUGUUCGGAAUUACUGGGCGUAAAGGGCUCGUAGGCGGCCAACUAAGUCAGACGUGAAAUCCCUCGGCUUAACCGGGGAACUGCGUCUGAUACUGGAUGGCUUGAGUUUGGGAGAGGGAUGCGGAAUUCCAGGUGUAGCGGUGAAAUGCGUAGAUAUCAGGAGGAACACCAAUGGCGAAGGCAGCUCGCUGGGACGUGACUGACGCUGAGACGCGAAAGCGUGGGGAGCAAACAGG
This 253-nucleotide ribosomal RNA is filed under the name uncultured bacterium. RNAcentral describes it as "partial 16S ribosomal RNA". It matches the Rfam family "Bacterial small subunit ribosomal RNA", at positions 524 to 776 of the family's 1533-position model. The record is from RNAcentral.